This 450-nucleotide ribosomal RNA is filed under the name uncultured bacterium. RNAcentral's name for it is "partial 16S ribosomal RNA". It matches the Rfam family "Bacterial small subunit ribosomal RNA", at positions 354 to 796 of the family's 1533-position model. The record is from RNAcentral.
GUGGGGAAUUUUGGACAAUGGGCGAAAGCCUGAUCCAGCCAUGCCGCGUGCAGGAUGAAGGCCUUCGGGUUGUAAACUGCUUUUGUACGGAACGAAAAGACUCCUUCUAAUAAAGGGGGUCCAUGACGGUACCGUAAGAAUAAGCACCGGCUAACUACGUGCCAGCAGCCGCGGUAAUACGUAGGGUGCAAGCGUUAAUCGGAAUUACUGGGCGUAAAGCGUGCGCAGGCGGUUAUAUAAGACAGAUGUGAAAUCCCGGGGCUCAACCUGGGAACUGCAUUUGUGACUGUAUAGCUAGAGUACGGUAGAGGGGGAUGGAAUUCCGCGUGUAGCAGUGAAAUGCGUAGAUAUGCGGAGGAACACCGAUGGCGAAGGCAAUCCCCUGGACCUGUACUGACGCUCAUGCACGAAAGCGUGGGGAGCAAACAGGAUUAGAUACCCCUGUAGUCC